Molecule: ribosomal RNA, 572 nt
Filed under: uncultured Glomeromycotina
Lineage: Eukaryota; Fungi; Glomeromycota
Description: SSU rRNA
Rfam family: Eukaryotic small subunit ribosomal RNA
Source: RNAcentral
UUGGAGGGCAAGUCUGGUGCCAGCAGCCGCGGUAAUUCCAGCUCCAAUAGCGUAUAUUAAAGUUGUUGCAGUUAAAAAGCUCGUAGUUGAAUUUCGGGAUUGACGUGAUGGUCAUGCCUUAAGGGGUAUGAACUGUCACAGUUGAUUUCUCACCUUCUGGAGAAACUUGAUGUCCUUUAUUGGGUGUCUUGCGGAUCCAGGACCUUUACCUUGAGAAAAUUAGAGUGUUUAAAGCAGGCAUUUUUGCUCGAAUACAUUAGCAUGGAAUAAUAGAAUAGGACGGCAUGGUUCUAUUUUGUUGGUUUCUAGGAUCACCGUAAUGAUUAAUAGGGAUAGUUGGGGGCAUUAGUAUUCAAUUGUCAGAGGUGAAAUUCUUGGAUUUAUUGAAGACUAACUACUGCGAAAGCAUUUGCCAAGGAUGUUUUCAUUAAUCAAGAACGAAAGUUAGGGGAUCGAAGACGAUCAGAUACCGUCGUAGUCUUAACCAUAAACUAUGCCGACUAGGAAUCAGACGAUGUUAAUUUUUUAAUGACUCGUUUGGCACCUUACGGGAAACCAAAGUGUUUGGGUUC